This 253-nucleotide ribosomal RNA is filed under the name uncultured bacterium. RNAcentral describes it as "partial 16S ribosomal RNA". It matches the Rfam family "Bacterial small subunit ribosomal RNA", at positions 524 to 776 of the family's 1533-position model. The record is from RNAcentral.
UACGUAGGGUGCGAGCGUUAAUCGGAAUUACUGGGCGUAAAGCGUGCGCAGGCGGUUAUGCAAGGCAGAUGUGAAAUCCCCGGGCUCAACCUGGGAACUGCAUUUGUGACUGCAUGGCUAGAGUACGGCAGAGGGGGAUGGAAUUCCACGUGUAGCAGUGAAAUGCGUAGAUAUCUGGAGGAACACCGGUGGCGAAGGCGGCAUCCUGGACCGGUAUUGACGCUGAGGAGCGAAAGCCAGGGGAGCAAACGGG